This 81-nucleotide transfer RNA is filed under the name Colletotrichum higginsianum. Its description in RNAcentral is "tRNA-Lys". The stretch from base 8 to 63 matches the Rfam family "tRNA", at positions 8 to 63 of the family's 71-position model. From Rfam's summary of the family: Transfer RNA (tRNA) molecules are approximately 80 nucleotides in length. Their secondary structure includes four short double-helical elements and three loops (D, anti-codon, and T loops). Lineage: Eukaryota; Fungi; Ascomycota; Sordariomycetes; Glomerellales; Glomerellaceae. The record is from RNAcentral.
GCCCGGCUAGCUCAAUCGGUAGAGCGUGAGACUCUUAAUCUCAAGGUUGUGGGUUCGACCCGUAAGCUCUACUCUGAUGCG